UCUAUUAGCGUGCUGGAACAGAUGACUCCACCCUGAUGAGGAUUAUGGUGUCGAGGAGCGAGAUAGACAUGUUGGACAUCAGGACCUGCUUCAAAAAGAAAUAUGGAACGUCUCUUUACACCACCAUCCAGGAGGACACAGAUGGGGACUACCAGAAGGCUCUACUGUACCUCUGUGGUGGGAAUGAUUAAUGGUGUUUUAUGUAGUCUAGCAGCACUGAAUGAUGAGCUGCUGCUGCUGCAGGACAAAGAUACACAUGUGAUGAGGUUAUUGAUCUGGAGUUGUUGAUUCUUUCUGACGUUGGCUUGCUAUUGAAUUAGUGUGAAUUACCCCCUUGACGUUUUUGAAUUAUGACAAUAUACGUAAAUCUUCAUGAACUGCAGUUAAAGUCUUACAUUUGCUUUUGGUUUGACACAUACAGAAAAUGGCUCAAUGUCGUGUAAAGGCUUUGUUUUGAAUAUAGUCAAUAAAGGUAGCUAUGUUGAAAAAUAUAAA
Long non-coding RNA from Gymnodraco acuticeps, 495 nucleotides. RefSeq lists it as uncharacterized. The record is from RefSeq and is a predicted model, not a curated record. The transcript has 2 exons. Lineage: Eukaryota; Metazoa; Chordata; Actinopteri; Perciformes; Bathydraconidae.